UACGGGGGGGGCAAGCGUUGUUCGGAAUUACUGGGCGUAAAGGGCGCGUAGGCGGCCUGGCAAGUGGAUGGUGAAAUCCCUCGGCUUAACCGAGGAACUGCCAUCCAGACUGCUUGGCUUGAGACCGGGAGAGGUGAGUGGAAUUCCCAGUGUAGAGGUGAAAUUCGUAGAUAUUGGGAAGAACACCGGUGGCGAAGGCGGCUCACUGGCUCAUUACUGACGCUCAGGCGCGAUAGCGUGGGGAUCAAACAGG
This 253-nucleotide ribosomal RNA is filed under the name uncultured bacterium. Its description in RNAcentral is "partial 16S ribosomal RNA". It matches the Rfam family "Bacterial small subunit ribosomal RNA", at positions 524 to 776 of the family's 1533-position model. The record is from RNAcentral.